This 68-nucleotide transfer RNA is filed under the name Himacerus apterus. Its description in RNAcentral is "tRNA-Asn". The record is from RNAcentral. Lineage: Eukaryota; Metazoa; Arthropoda; Insecta; Hemiptera; Nabidae.
UUAAUAGAAGCCAAAAAUUAGAGGCAAUUUAUUGUUAAUAAAUCAAAUGGUUAUUAUACCCUAUUAAA